RNAcentral lists this ribosomal RNA (494 nucleotides) under uncultured bacterium. Its description in RNAcentral is "partial 16S ribosomal RNA". It matches the Rfam family "Bacterial small subunit ribosomal RNA", at positions 28 to 507 of the family's 1533-position model. The record is from RNAcentral.
GACGAACGCUGGCGGCGUGCUUAACACAUGCAAGUCGAACGGAAAGGCCUGCUUUCCCUUGUGGAUUGCGGGUACUCGAGUGGCGAACGGGUGAGUAACACGUGAGUGAUCUGCCCCCAACUUGGGUAUAAGCCUGGGAAACUGGGUCUAAUUCCCGAUAGGACUGCAGGGUGGUGCCUGUGGUGGAAAACGAUUUUCUAGUGGUUGGGGUUGAGCUCGCGGCCUAUCAGCUUGUUGGUGGGGUAAUGGCCUACCAAGGCGGCGACGGGUAGCCGGCCUGAGAGGGUGGACGGCCACAUUGGGACGGAGAUACGGCCCAGACUCCUACGGGAGGCAGCAGUGGGGAAUAUUGCACAAUGGGCGGAAGCCUGAUGCAGCGACGCCGCGUGGGGGAUGACGGCCUUCGGGUUGUAAACUCCUUUCGACCGCGAGGAAGCCACCUGGUUGGAAGGGUGGUGACGGUAGUGGUAGAAGAAGCACCGGCUAACUACGUG